UGCGUAGGCGGAAUGAUAAGUUAGUGGUGAAAGCCCCCGGCUCAACCGGGGAACAGCCAUUAAUACUGUCAUUCUUGAGUAUAGUUGAAGUGGGCGGAAUGUAUCAUGUAGCGGUGAAAUGCUUAGAUAUGAUACAGAACACCGAUAGCGUAGGCAGCUUGCUAAACUAUAACUGACGCUCAGGCACGAAAGCGUGGGGAGCAAACAGGAUUAGAUACCCUGGUAGUCC
Molecule: ribosomal RNA, 229 nt
Filed under: uncultured bacterium
Lineage: Bacteria
Description: partial 16S ribosomal RNA
Rfam family: Bacterial small subunit ribosomal RNA
Source: RNAcentral